GGCAACCCCAGAGCUCGGUCCCAUAUCAACUGAGAGCAAAUUCCAAGACUCCUUGAAACACCGAAAAGAACAGUAAAGUACCUUGCUUCAGUCAAACCAAAGUAGUUCAACAAUACUCCACUAUGAGCAUCAACAUUUGGCCAUGGGUUUUUAACCUUCCCAAGUUCUGUUAGGAUGGGUGGCACAACUUCGUAGAGCUUGGAUACCAGCUGAAAAAGAGGAUCGUCAGGCAAAUGCUUCAAGGCAAACUCUCUUUGACAAGUAUAUCUUGGAUCUGUUUUACGCAGAACUCCAUGACCAAAUCCUGGAACAACCUUGCCACUGUUUAGUGUUUUCCAAACAUAGUCUUUCAACUGCUCCGUAGUUAUGUUCUCUCCACACUCUUCCACUACAGAUUUGAUCCAAAGCAAGACUUCCUGAUUUGCCAAACCAUGUAAUGGUCCAGCCAGACCAUUUAGGGCAGCAGCAAAUGAAAGAUAAGGAUC
This 485-nucleotide unclassified non-coding RNA is filed under the name Hevea brasiliensis (rubber tree). The record is from RNAcentral. Lineage: Eukaryota; Viridiplantae; Streptophyta; Magnoliopsida; Malpighiales; Euphorbiaceae.